Odocoileus virginianus texanus is the source of this 1845-nucleotide non-coding RNA. The record is from RefSeq and is a predicted model, not a curated record. NCBI's taxonomy places the organism in Eukaryota, Metazoa, Chordata, Mammalia, Artiodactyla, Cervidae.
GCUGAUGGUACACUGUCCCACUCUCUUUGAAAUUUCUGCAGGCUCAGCAAAACUUGUUACUGACACUGAAGUUACAACGUAAGCCACAUGUGUCCGAACAACAGAGUUCACACUGAAUUCCUGCUAUCUGGACUAUCAGACUCAGAAUGUAAUAGCAUCCAAGUUUCUUAUGAACAGUCAAUCUGCUCCUUCUUCAAGCCAUAAGAUGGGCACUCUAUAUUAACACUGUACUUGGUACUCAAGAAGGUUACUGAAGAACUCAUGAAGAAAGAAUGAAAGAAGUGAAUGCCUUAUAGUAGGCUCAAUCAUGUGACCUGUUUUAGUCCAUGAAUAUACCAGGAGAAAGUACACAACCAGAGGCUUUAAAAAUUACUUCAUUAUUUCUGCCUGCUUUGUGUACUUCUGCCAUGCCACAACAGACCCAAAGUGGUCUGCUAAAGACUACUGAAAAAGGUGAACAGUCUAGUUACUGUUGUCAUUCUAACUUAUGUCAACUUACAUCAGUCAGCUCAUCCCCAGACAUGAAGCAAAUUCAGUCAAGCUGCCUAGACAAUCCAGAGUUGAUUAUAUGAAAAAACAAGCUAAAAUAUGUAUUUAAAAAAAAAAAAAACUUGAAUGAAUCAGAGAUAAAUAAUUUACCUGGCGAAAAGUUAAAAGCAAUGGUCAUAAAGAUGUUCACUGAACUGGGAAGAAGAACAUAUGAACACAGGGAGAACUUCAACAAAGAAAUGAAAAAUAUAAGCAUAGCAAACAGAAGUCAUGGAGCUGAAAAACAUAAUAUCAGAAGUGAAAAAUAUACUAAAAGAGUUCAAAAGCACACUAAAUUAAGAAGAAUAAAAGAUCAGUUAACUCAAAGACAAGAUAGUAGAAUUCACCCAAUCAGAGCAGCAAAAAGGGAAAAGAAUGAAAAAGUGAAAAUAGCUUAAAGAAUUUAUGGGACAGCAUCAAACCGACUAAUAUUUACAUCAUACAGCUCCCAGGAAAGGAAUAAAGAUAGGUAAAAGCCUUAUUUGAAAAAAUAAAGGCUGAAAACAUCCUUAACAGGGAAGGAAACAAAUAUCCAGAUCUAGAAAGGCCAGAGACUUCCGAGCAAGGAGUCCAAAAAGACCCACACCAAGACACAUUACUAAAAUGCCAAGAGACAGACUAUUAAAAGCAGCAAGACAAGAACAACUUGUUACAUAUAAAGGAAACCUUGAUAAGCCUAUCAGCAGAUGUUUCAGCAAAAACUUUGCAGGCCAGAAGGGAGUGGAACAAUAUAUUCAAAGUGCUAAAAGAAAAAAACUUCCAAUUAAUAAUACUCUACCCAGAAAAGUUAUUAUUCAGAGUGAAGGCGAGAGAAAGAAUUUUCCAGACAAGCAAAAGUUAAAUUGUUUAUCACCACUAAGCUGGCCCUACAAGAAAUGUUAAAGGGACUUCUUUAAGCUGAAAAGAAAGACUGCUAAUUAGUAAUAAGAACACACAUGAAAGAAUAAACCUAAUAUACAUUAGAAAUAGUAGUGGAUUAAUUACUUAGAAAGCUAUCAGGAAGGCUGAAAAACAAAAAAACAAAAAACUAAGAUUACAAUAAUUGGCUACAAAAGCAGUUUCAAGAGGGAAGUUCAUAGCAAUAAAUGCCAACAUCAAAAAACAAAAGUCUCACAACAUCCAACUUGACAUGCAAGGAACUAGAAAAAGAACAAUCAAAGCUCAAAGCAAGCAGAAGAAAGGAAAUAACAAAGAUUACAGCAGAAAUAAGUUAAAUACAGACUAAAAAGACAACAAAAAAGAUCAAUGAAACCAACAGGUGGAUCAAAAGGUAAUCUUUCAAAAUUGACAAACCUCUAGCUAGACACACCAAAAGAA